Molecule: ribosomal RNA, 915 nt
Filed under: uncultured Cryobacterium sp.
Lineage: Bacteria; Bacillati; Actinomycetota; Actinomycetes; Micrococcales; Microbacteriaceae
Description: bacterial SSU rRNA
Rfam family: Bacterial small subunit ribosomal RNA
Source: RNAcentral
UCCUACGGGAGGCAGCAGUGGGGAAUAUUGCACAAUGGGCGCAAGCCUGAUGCAGCAACGCCGCGUGAGGGACGAAGGCCUUCUGGUUGUAAACCUCUUUUAGUAGGGAAGAAGCGACUGGGUUUUCCUGGGAGUGACGGUACCUGCAGAAAAAGCACCGGCUAACUACGUGCCAGCAGCCGCGGUAAUACGUAGGGUGCAAGCGUUGUCCGGAAUUAUUGGGCGUAAAGAGCUCGUAGGCGGUUUGUCGCGUCUGCUGUGAAGACCCGAGGCCCAACCUCGGGCCUGCAGUGGGUACGGGCAGACUAGAGUGCGGUAGGGGAGAUUGGAAUUCCUGGUGUAGCGGUGGAAUGCGCAGAUAUCAGGAGGAACACCAAUGGCGAAGGCAGAUCUCUGGGCCGUAACUGACGCUGAGGAGCGAAAGCAUGGGGAGCGAACAGGAUUAGAUACCCUGGUAGUCCAUGCCGUAAACGUUGGGAACUAGAUGUGGGGACCAUUCCACGGUCUCCGUGUCGCAGCUAACGCAUUAAGUUCCCCGCCUGGGGAGUACGGCCGCAAGGCUAAAGCUCAAAGGAAUUGACGGGGGCCCGCACAAGCGGCGGAGCAUGCGGAUUAAUUCGAUGCAACGCGAAGAACCUUACCAAGGCUUGACAUAUACCGGAAACGGCUGGAAACAGUCGCCCCGCAAGGUCGGUAUACAGGUGGUGCAUGGUUGUCGUCAGCUUGUGUCGUGAGAUGUUGGGUUAAGUCCCGCAACGAGCGCAACCCUCGUCCUAUGUUGCCAGCACGUAAUGGUGGGAACUCAUGGGAUACUGCCGGGGUCAACUCGGAGGAAGGUGGGGAUGACGUCAAAUCAUCAUGCCCCUUAUGUCUUGGGCUUUCACGCAUGCUACAAUGGCCGGUACAAAGGGCUGC